GACGUAGGGCGCGAGCGUUGUCCGGAUUUAUUGGGCGUAAAGAGCUCGUAGGCGGCUUGUCGCGUCGAAUGUGAAAUUUUAGGGCUCAACCCUGACAUUGCAUUCGAUACGGGCAGGCUUGAGUUCGGUAGGGGAGACUGGAAUUCCUGGUGUAGCGGUGAAAUGCGCAGAUAUCAGGAGGAACACCGGUGGCGAAGGCGGGUCUCUGGGCCGAUACUGACGCUGAGGCGCGAAAGCUAGGGGAGCGAACAGG
RNAcentral lists this ribosomal RNA (253 nucleotides) under uncultured bacterium. RNAcentral describes it as "partial 16S ribosomal RNA". It matches the Rfam family "Bacterial small subunit ribosomal RNA", at positions 524 to 776 of the family's 1533-position model. The record is from RNAcentral.